UAAGGAUAAAUUUAUUUAAAUAUAUUGUUUAAAAUAAUUUUAAUUUUAGUAUUUUUUAAAGAAUAAAUAAUUUUAAUUAUAGAUUAGAGUAUUGAAAAAGAAAAUUGAAAUAUUAUUGAAAAUAGAUUUAUUAAUAAGAAAAUUUAGUUUAUUGUACCUUUUGUAUCAGGGGUUAUUAAUUAAUUAAUUUAUAUAAAAUUAAUUUCGAAAUAAAAAGAUUUAAUUUAAUAUAAUUUUUAAUGUUAUAAAAUUAUUUUUAAUAUUAAAUUAGAAUUUAAAAGUUAAUCGAUUUUUAUUAUAUCUAAUUUUUUAAGAAAUAAAUUUAAUUUAGUUUAUAAUUUUUAUUUAUUUAUUUUUUUAGUUAAAUAAUAAAUUAUAGAUAAUAUAUUAAGGGAUAAGCUUUAAUAUAUAAGAUUAUAAAAUAAUAAAUUUUAAAAUUAAUAUAUUCUUAGAAAUAGAAAUUAUUUUUUAGUAUGUUAUAAUUUAAUAAAUUUUAUAUAAAAUUUAUUUUUUUUUAAUUAUUUUAUUAAAAUAUUUAAUUUAAUAAUAAUAUUAAAGUAAUAAUGAUAAUAUUAGUAUAUUUAUGUUAAUUUUUAAUAAUAUAUAAAUUAAAGGUUUUAAUUAAAUAGAUUUAAGGAACUCGGCAAAUUUAGUGUUCGCCUGUUUAUUAAAAACAUGUCUUUUAGAAUUUUAUUUAAGGUUUAAUCUGCCCACUGAAUAUUAAAGGGCCGCAGUAUAUUAACUGUGCAAAGGUAGCAUAAUAAUUAGUUUUUUAAUUGAAAGCUAGAAUGAAUGAUUGGACGAAAUAUUUACUGUCUUAAAUUUAUAAAUAUAGAAUUUUAUUUUUUAAUUAAAAAGUUGAAAUAAAUUUAAAAGACGAGAAGACCCUAUAGAUUUUUAUAUAUAAUUUUUUAAUAAAAUUUAGUUAAAUUAUAUUUUAAAUUUAUUAUAUAUUAUAUUGGGGUAAUAAUAAAAUUUUAUAAAUUUUUAUUUUUUAAUAACAAUUAUAGUUGAAUAAUUGAUCCAGUAUUAUUGAUUAAAAAAUUAAAUUACCUUAGGGAUAACAGCAUAAUGAUUUUUGAGAGUUCUUAUCAAUAAAAUAGUUUGUGACCUCGAUGUUGAAUUAAAAUAUAUUUUAGAUGUAGGUGUUUAAAAAAUAAAGUCUGUUCGACUUAUAAUAUUUUACAUGAUUUGAGUUUAGACCGGUGUGAGCCAGGUCAGUUUCUAUCUUUAAUAAAUUAUUAUAUUUUAGUACGAAAGGAUUAAAUAUAAAAUAAAUUUUAUUUAUAAAAUUGAAUAAUAUUAAUUAUUUAUAA
RNAcentral lists this ribosomal RNA (1316 nucleotides) under Micropygomyia chassigneti. Its description in RNAcentral is "16S ribosomal RNA". The record is from RNAcentral. Lineage: Eukaryota; Metazoa; Arthropoda; Insecta; Diptera; Psychodidae.